UGGGGAAUCUUCCGCAAUGGGCGCAAGCCUGACGGAGCAACGCCGCGUGAGUGAAGAAGGCCUUCGGGUCGUAAAGCUCUGUCUUCAGGGAAGAACAACUAGGGUGUGAAUAAUGCCUUAGCCUGACGGUACCUGAGGAGGAAGCUCCGGCUAACUACGUGCC
Molecule: ribosomal RNA, 163 nt
Filed under: uncultured bacterium
Lineage: Bacteria
Description: partial 16S ribosomal RNA
Rfam family: Bacterial small subunit ribosomal RNA
Source: RNAcentral